AUACAAAAAUAGAAGAAGAAAAAAUCUGAAACCUGCUGGGUCUCAGACUCUCACUCAUCAUACAAUUCGCUGAAGUCCAGUCCCUUCGUAAAGUGUAGUCAAUACUUAUUUGAUUUUGAGACAUGGUUCUGCUCAGCCUAGCGCCUCGUAUUCAAUGAGCCAAAGCCACUUGCGACGGUCUACUUUGUGCGGCGCGUUGAAACGAUUCCUGGAUGUCUGGGACGAAGCAGAGGCACGUCCGCUGUGCGAUCCCAGGUUGCUUGGAAAAGCAGAGAUCGCUGUACAAUCUCCCGAAAGACCAAUCAAAAAGGAGAAAUUGGUUGGAAUUUAUCUUUAACUAUAAUGUUCCAGAUACGUUCAGCCCAUACAUGUUGGUUUGUUGCCAGCACUUCGAGUCAAGUUGUUUUGCAAACGAAGCCCAGUACAACGCAGGAUUUGCAUCAAAGUUAUUGCUUCUACCUGGAGCUAUUCCUACUGUAGACCUACGAUGUCCAUCAGAAAAUAAACUAUCUACGAGCGCUCCCUCACAGCUGCCUGCAUCCAGGCGUGUUGCCUGCCAAACUGACCCCGUCGGAGGUAAAUCAACAGGUACUCAGCUGUCCCAGAGAACACUACGGCCUCAUUUCAGAAGUAUAGGUACCCAAACUAUACCAAGGAUAGGCCCUUAUCUGACCUCAACAUCAGCCAAGGCUACGAGACCAGCCAGGAAACCGCAUAUUGUUGUCAAGGAGGAGGAGGAGAGUUCUAUAGAGUUCCCUGAGCUGCAUGAUUCUUCUUACAAUCCUGUGGUUUCUGGGCCUUCCUUGUCAUCUUCUCCAAGGUCCUUGUGAGUUCAUUUUUUAACCAUAAUGUGAAAUAGUAUUUUUUAAUUUAUAACUUGCAUGGAAAGAUAAUUGAAAUCCAUACAUUGACUACCAAAUUUCCUCAACGAAACUGAAUCCUUUAGAUGGUCAUUGUCAAGAGGAUUUAUACAACAGACUUGAAAAGCGAGUCACCUAUGGAAGAUGCACUUUGAAUGAUCCAUUUGGGGAAAUGAGUACUCUGCAUGUAACACAUCCUAUCUAGCUAUGAGCAGUGACACACAUGGGAGUGCCCGAGAGACAACUCCAGUUUAUAGUGCCUUUGCCUUGCUGAUGGUAAAGUAGGAGUAUUACCUUCAUGCUUUCGGUAAGAGGUGACCAGAGCGCCUGUAGGAGACCUGGGUGAACACGAAGAGUACAAAGACCUCGAACACAGAACUUCCAUCCAUCGGCGUCUUCAAACCCAUGUCCUUCUUGCUCUGAAAUAGUAGGGGGUAACCACUGAGCAACUGGUUAUUAUUUAUUUUUAGAUGGAAGAAUGUAUCGGUCCUAUACACUGUGUGUAGCAUAUAUAAAUAUAGUCUCUACAAAAACACUUGUAAAGAGACUGAGUAAUGUGCUUGUUGUCAUGAAAGCAAGGUGCUGUUCUGAGAAAUUGAUCCAUUUAAAAAAUGGUUUCUCAAAAGUAGCACGCACCACUGUGUCUAAGUGCUAAGACACACACCGCCUAAAAGUAUUCUCACACAAUUGUUUGAAUAGAAAAUGUCAAGGCUGCAUAAAUCAACAGGGUCUUUGUGCACAUGCAUUUGAAUGUACAAUUUAAAAUGAAGGCCGUCCCUUAGGGUCAUUGCAUUAAGUGGAAACUGAACAUUAUGUCGUUUAUUCUUUUUUUCUUUGACUAAACGAGGUGGCUACCUGUUACGUUGAAUUCCAGUGAUGUUUUUUGUCUCAAAUUCAUUAUUUAUAGGAAUUUAUAUCCUCGACAAGAAAACAGGACAUACUUCAGUGUUGAUGCUUCAACACCUUUUCAACUUGGGAGUGCCGCUGUCGUUUACUCUGUCAAGGGAGGUUGUUAAUGAUCCAUCAAAUUAAUUAAACCUCUCCUCCGGAUGUCUUGUAUUCCUUAUCAUAACUCCUCACCUUGUCACUUGUCGUUGCCGUCAUCUUCAGACAUCAACAACAGCUUUGGGUGGGCUAUACUUCACCUUCUUAAAUCUGCUAUUUUCACAGGCUUCAGUCUCAUGAUUCUUAUGUGUUCAUAUCGAUCGAAAUGACCGGUAAAACACUGACAUGAGAACCAUGAGAUGAUCAACAGAAUCUUAUCCAAACAAGGUGGGGUGAGAAAUUCCAAAGAUACGAGGGCUCAAUCCCAAUGUCUGGCCUCAUAGACUUUGUUGCGCGUUCUCGUGAAAUGAUUAAGGCUUUAGGGCUGUCCCAUUGUCGAAUUCCAAAGGGCGUGAGGAUUGGAGUCCACACUUACCGAGCCCUUUCCGUGAGUCUGCAUCAGUGCAGACUUCAACUAAGGGAAUUACCCACAGUUCAAAGACAUUUACUGCGGAGACCAUAGGGAAAUUAGGAAGGUAAACAAGACGACCCUACUGUCAAUGCGCAACUUUUUUUAGUGAGUCGGAUCGUUUGGAUCAGCUCACCAACAAGAGCUGGCUCUUUUGGCUCCCAAACAGCUCUUCAUAUUACUAAUUAUACCUUUCAUAAUUCAACCAAAUGUAGGCCGUUCUAACUUAUGAAUAGUAUGUGUAGGCCAAUAAUCACCUAAAUUACUCAAUACAUCCUUUAUACUGAAGUAUUCAAAAGUAGAAAAAUUAUAUUUUCUAACCAAUAAAUUGCUGUAGCCGUUUGUUUUCACUGCAUUUCCAAAGAAAAAACAAAAAAAAAUUAAAAAAAAAUCCCAAACCGGCAAGUGUCGGCAACAUAUUUUUCAUUAAACGUUGCCAAGAUAACAUGUGCUCUUGUGAAGUGCUGUCCCAAUCCCAUAUUACCUAUUCGAGCCCAUGUGGCCUCACACAUUCACUCACUUAGCAACUGAGAUUAAUUAAGUCUGUGAGGCCGAUUCAUACCUCCGGAUCCGGACGAAAUUUGUCCGUCCGUACCAAACGUUGUCUCCGGGACUACCCUCCAUACUUAUUUCAGCGUUGUUAUGGAUGUUACGCUCAGAGGCAACGGACCCGCUGACGGACGAAACGAAGGGUUCCUAUCCGUAUUUACCGCAGGUAGUGAAUGGGCCUUAAGCCCUCAGGGCUCACUUUGGGAUUGGGCCGAGGAGACGUUGUUAUUCAAAGCCAUUUAAUGAAGAUUCACUUCACUAGUGGCUCUUGGCUCUGUGAGGGACAGCAGACUUUUACAUUUUCUGCAACUCUGUAUCCACUUCAUGUGAGCACUCUGUGCCUGCGAUGAUGAAACUCAAGGAAUUGUCUGCAGAGGUCAAAGGGGUCCUUAAUCCAUGAUGAAUGAGCUCUCCAGGGCAGACUAGAGACUGCCAAAUGAGCCCAAUUAAAAUGAAUGGAAAGUGAUUUCAAAUGCCUCGAUUUAAUCUCUACAUUGAAUAUAAUAGAAAUUCCACAACCCACUGCAGAACAUAACAUCUUCUCAUAGACAGCCCCAAGACACCUAACUUGUCUAUCAGCCUGCCCCGCAGACUACAGCUGUUUUAAAAAAAAAAUACAUUUGACUUAUCUUUUUAAAAAAGGCUUUUGCUAAUUUCCCUUUUACUUUUUAUGUAUUAUAUGUUUUAACAACCCAAUUUUUUAAACUCUGUAGCACUUUGAGAUUUCUCAAUGCAAAGUGCUCUACAAAUUCAAUAUAUUAUUAUUAUUAUUAUUAAGAUUUGUUGGCGAGAUACAACAUCUGUGACAAUGCAGUAAGGGGGUAAGGGCUAGUGACUUCCCCUUCAUGCAUUAUUCUCGCCAAACAUUUCUGGAUCUAUUGAGGGAAAACAGGCAGUGCUGUCGAAUAGAAUAUCUCUGAGCAGCGGCCGGGUAAAUGUGUCACUAAUAUGAAGUGCAGCACGGAGAACCCGAUGUAUACGAGUAGGAUGGCUCGCUGGUUGCAGAUAGAGCAGUCACGAGUGGUUUCCGUUACUGUAGUAUCCUGGGAACCAUGAAUGAACCAAACUUUUCAAAUGUGAUGUAAUAUUGCUCCAUACUGUCUACAUUGAAGUGAACAAAUACUGUGCUUUGUGCUGUGCUGUAUGCAGACACACAGACGUGCACGUAGACAACAGAGGCCUGUUCACCAAUAAUCUCAAUACACAGGAUAAAGAAAGCCUCUAUUUAUGAAAGUAAUAAAACCAAGAAGGGGGGGCAGGUGGAAUAUCAGGAAUGACAGCUUGGCGUAAUUUGUGCCUUAUUAUGCUUAAAAUAAAAUGGGUCCCGCAAAGGAUAGGUUUGAACAGCGUCAGGGGUGAUAGAUAAAUAAACAUGAAAUGCUAUCAGGCUCUGGAGGAAGGCGGGCGGAAGUUCCACUUUAUUUGUCUUUUCUGUGUCUGCUAGCCCAAUAUCCCACUAAUAAUAAAAAAGGAAUAGGCAAGGCUCCCUGUUGGGUUGUAGGAUUUUAUUGUUGUUUGGGAAGAAAUUUCGUUUUUCUAUUUGCAUUGCAUUAUGCUCGAUCGUUCCUCCAUCACAUUCAUUGAUGAAACGGCUCAGAAAGACAUGAUAAUUUUAAGGGAUUAACCCCUUUUUUAAGAAAAAAAGCCCAAAGCACAGAAGGAAAUGAAUAACAGUUCUCCCCUUGACUGAUAUCGCUCAAUCCUAUCUUGAAUUCAUAUCAGAAACAACCCUGGCACCACAAUUCUGGCCUAUUAACCUUGCCCGAUAUUGAAUUUGACAAAUAGAACCAGUGGACCGAUUCUGGGGCAUCGGUCCACUCAGAAGCAUACUUUAUUCAUUGAUUUUCAAUACAAACAUGGCUGAAGCGCAAAGACAUCUACCGUCAGUGUCCUCAACUGACUCUUGUGUUCAGUCCCUUAGUUGCUCGAGUUUUGUUGUUGCUAAUAGCUACACACAACCACAGGGUUAAUAGACCGCUUAGCAGCGGUGUCAUCGUAGGACAAGGGUGCGCAGGUGUCGCUCAUAACACUAAAGUUGCGUCUGCUACUUUUACGGGUAGAUAAUAUGAGCACAUUGACCAUGGAGCAUUUUCACUGAGCUGUCAGAGCAGGGCAAACACCGGUGUA
Long non-coding RNA from Gadus chalcogrammus (walleye pollock), 4989 nucleotides. RefSeq lists it as uncharacterized. The transcript is spliced from 3 exons. NCBI's taxonomy places the organism in Eukaryota, Metazoa, Chordata, Actinopteri, Gadiformes, Gadidae. The record is from RefSeq and is a predicted model, not a curated record.